This 1281-nucleotide unclassified non-coding RNA is filed under the name uncultured fungus. Its description in RNAcentral is "sequence contains 18S rRNA gene, ITS1, 5.8S rRNA gene, ITS2, 28S rRNA gene". The stretch from base 336 to 1281 matches the Rfam family "Eukaryotic large subunit ribosomal RNA", at positions 1 to 961 of the family's 3401-position model. The record is from RNAcentral. Lineage: Eukaryota; Fungi.
GGAGGGAUCAUUCAGAGAUAUUUCUUUGCUUUUGAAUCACAAGCGCAUGCGUAAGCGCUUUAAAGAGUGAGUUGAGUGAGAUACUAUUGGCUUAUCAGCGAUGGACAUAUUGGUUUCCCAAUCGAUGAAGGACGCAGCAAAACGCGAUAAUCAGUGCGAAAUGCAGAUUUACGAGAGUCAUCAGGUUUUCGAACGCAGACUGCGCGGAGAUAUAAAAUCUACGCUCGAGAUGUUAAGUGACUAUUUUAACGUUGUUCUCAAAGAACGAGGGGCAUUAUAAGUAAUAAACAUUUGUGCUGUUUUGAAAAAGCACGAUGGUGUGUUUUCGCAGGAUUAAGUCAUGAUAAUCUCGAGGUUAUCCGUUAAACUUAAGCAUAUUACUAAACGGAAGAAAAUAAAACAAAUGUGAUGCCUGUAGUAACGGCGAGUGAAGUAGGCCGAUCCAAUGAUUAAAACGCAACUUAAGUGUUGCAUGAAAUGUUGUGACAUGCUUCUGGCUGACAACUGGAUCAAAGGUUUUUGGGAUAGAACGAAUGUAAGGGUGAAAUCACCGUUGAUUCGAGUUUGUUCGCGCAAAGAGGUUGUUCCAUGAGUCGUGCUCUUUGAUAUUGGAGCACAAAAUACGUGGUAAAUUUCACGUACGGAUAAAUACUAGUGGAAUUCCGAUAGCAAACAAGUACUAUGAAGGAAAUUUGAAAAGGACUUUGAAGAGAGGGUUAAACAGUGCUCGAAAUUGCUGGUAACGAAGUGGUGCAGUCGUCCCGUGGUCCAUAAAUUGUUGGCACCUUGACGCGCGUUUGGGUCCGAUUGUUUUUAUGGACAUUGCCGGUCUUUGCUUCAAACGGAUGACAAAGGUACUUGUGCUGUGUUAUCAACAGAUUCACAACAUGUGCAAUUGGUUCAUUUUGUUGCAGGUUGACAUUUAAGCCCAUACAAACUUUAGAGAAUUGGGUGGUGUAGAAGGGUUAAAGAGGACUGUACCUUCCCGUCUUGAAACACGGACCAAGGAGUCUACCACGUAUGCGAGUAGAUUAGUGGCAAACUAUCAUGCGAAAGGAAACUGAUUGGAUCUACAAAUAGUUUAACCGCUAUGUUUCUUUUGAAAUUUAGCGAGAGAGAGCAUACCUGUUAGGACCCGAAAGAUGGUGAACUAUGUCUGAGGAGGGUGAAGCCAGAGGAAACUCUGGUGGAAGCUCGUAGCAUUACUGACGUGCAAAUCGUUUGUCAAACUUGGAUAUAGGGGCGAAAGACUAAUCGAACCAUCUAGUAGCUGGUUCCAUU